RNAcentral lists this unclassified non-coding RNA (297 nucleotides) under uncultured Pleosporales. RNAcentral describes it as "sequence contains ITS1". The stretch from base 1 to 105 matches the Rfam family "5.8S ribosomal RNA", at positions 50 to 154 of the family's 154-position model. Lineage: Eukaryota; Fungi; Ascomycota; Dothideomycetes; Pleosporales. The record is from RNAcentral.
GAAAUGCGAUAAGUAGUGUGAAUUGCAGAAUUCAGUGAAUCAUCGAAUCUUUGAACGCACAUUGCGCCCCUCGGUAUUCCGUGGGGCAUGCUUAUUUGAGCGUCAUUUAACCCCUCAAGCCUAGCUUGGUGUUGGGCGUCUGUCUCGCCUUGGUGCGUAGACUCGCCUUGAAACUAUUGGCAGCCAGUACGUAGGCUUCAAGCGCAGCAGAUUUGCGUCUUGGGUCUAUGGGCUGGUGCUCCAGUAAGCCUCUUCUAUCUUGACCUCAGAUUAAGUAGGGAUACCCGCUGAACUUAA